Molecule: ribosomal RNA, 492 nt
Filed under: uncultured bacterium
Lineage: Bacteria
Description: partial 16S ribosomal RNA
Rfam family: Bacterial small subunit ribosomal RNA
Source: RNAcentral
AGUGAACGCUGGCGGUAUGCCUAACACAUGCAAGUCGAACGGCAGCACAGUAAGAGCUUGCUCUUACGGGUGGCGAGUGGCGGACGGGUGAGGAAUACAUCGGAAUCUACUUUUUCGUGGGGGAUAACGUAGGGAAACUUACGCUAAUACCGCAUACGACCUACGGGUGAAAGCAGGGGAUCUUCGGACCUUUCGCGAUUGAAUGAGCCGAUGUCGGAUUAGCUAGUUGGCGGGGUAAAGGCCCACCAAGGCGACGAUCCGUAGCUGGCCUGAGAGGAUGAUCAGCCACACUGGAACUGAGACACGGUCCAGACUCCUACGGGAGGCAGCAGUGGGGAAUAUUGGACAAUGGGCGCAAGCCUGAUCCAGCCAUACCGCGUGGGUGAAGAAGGCCUUCGGGUUGUAAAGCCCUUUUGUUGGGAAAGAAAAGCAGCAGGUUAAUCCCCCGCUGUUCUGACGGUACCCAAAGAAUAAGCACCGGCUAACUUCGUG